Molecule: long non-coding RNA, 1266 nt
Filed under: Salmo salar (Atlantic salmon)
Lineage: Eukaryota; Metazoa; Chordata; Actinopteri; Salmoniformes; Salmonidae
Description: lncRNA (ENSSSAG00000090273.1)
Source: RNAcentral
GUUGAUUUGCACAUGUUAAAGCUGAGGUGAUUCACCACAGAGUGGUGGUGUUAGUAAGGAUAUCUGUCGAUAGUAAGGAUACGUAACAUCUGUUGACCAAAACAGGUCUGGGUGUACUCCUUGUGGAUGCUGGGUUUCAUUGGAACUUGUUUUGAUUGAGAACUGGUUUUUAUUAUCCAUUAUGAUUGAGUCCACAGUAGGCUGGUGAGGGGAGGACGGCUCAUAAUAAUGACUGGAAUGAAGUGAAUGGAAUGGUAUCAAACACAAGGAAACCAUGUGUUUGACAUGUCAAUACCAUUCCAUUCCAGCCAUUACUAUGAGCCCGUCCUCCCCAAUUAAAGCACCACCAGCCAGCUGUGAUUGAGUCAUGGAACUCACACUAGUGUUCUGGUUAACGUACUCGAAGAACAGAUCUGAGUAAAAGCCAGCAUAGAAAGGGAAAGUCGGUGACCAGGAUCAUGUUCAGUCAGGAGAAAACCUUUUGAAAUGGAGUUAAGCGGGUAGGUAACCACUCAUUUUCAUUAUCCGUUGCGAAACAUUUUGCUACAGUGUACCCUACUGAACAUGACCAAGUGCUGAGAGAAAACAUGAAAUGUACCGGGAAAUUAAAUGGAGCCAGGAAGUAAAAUGGACCAGGAAGUAGCUCUAUAUACCCCAUAGAGCAAGAUAGAGGACACAACAUUGUAUCUGUCCCUUCAUGGCAUCUGAGAGCAUACAGCACCAUUGAGGCCAUCUCCAUUUUGAAGUGGUUACUUUUCUUAUUCUACUACUAUGAGUUGGUAAACAAACUGAAAGGGUGCACACUGCCACCUGGAGUGUGUUAUUUGAACAGGUAUAAAUCCAAGGUUUAUGAUUUACUGCCACCUGCAGUUAUGGAAUAUUUGUUCACAAGUGUAAUUCAUUGGCUGAUCCCUCCUGAUGAGCUGGUUUGAAUUAUGUGAUAAUUUCUUAACCCAUAAGAAGUCCCACCCAGUUCUACUUAAAAAUGGUGAAAGUCCUCAAUGGUGCUGCCCAUGCUAAAAUGGCUUUUAGGCACUAGAGUCCUCUAUCUACCUCUAUGAUAUACCCAUACUGUAUCUGGAUGUCCUGCCUCAUACCAAUGUUUACACAUGAAUGUAACCUGAUCGUAAAUGUUGAUGUUUCUCAGCCAAAACAGCUUGAUUAUUAAUAAAGAAAAUAGCAUUUUGUGGCUCAUUAGUAAGGUCUUUAUUGUCUUUAUGUCAUUUCAAACCUUUUACAUGUUUCUGCUUGUAUAUUUUGUACGGA